RNAcentral lists this ribosomal RNA (447 nucleotides) under uncultured bacterium. Its description in RNAcentral is "bacterial SSU rRNA". It matches the Rfam family "Bacterial small subunit ribosomal RNA", at positions 355 to 825 of the family's 1533-position model. The record is from RNAcentral.
UGGGGAAUAUUGGACAAUGGGCGAAAGCCUGAUCCAGCCAUGCCACGUGAGUGACGAAGGCCUUAGGGUUGUAAAGCUCUUUUGGCGGGGAAGAUAAUGACGGUACCCGCAGAAUAAGCUCCGGCUAACUUCGUGCCAGCAGCCGCGGUAAUACGAAGGGAGCUAGCGUUGUUCGGAAUCACUGGGCGUAAAGCGCACGUAGGCGGAUUGUUUAGUCAGGGGUGAAAUCCCGGGGCUCAACCUCGGAACUGCCUUUGAUACUGGCAAUCUCGAGUCCGAUAGAGGUGGGUGGAAUUCCUAGUGUAGAGGUGAAAUUCGUAGAUAUUAGGAAGAACACCGGUGGCGAAGGCGGCCCACUGGAUCGGUACUGACGCUGAGGUGCGAAAGCGUGGGGAGCAAACAGGAUUAGAUACCCCCGUAGUCCCUGAGCGGGCUGGCAAGGCGCAU